Long non-coding RNA from Nilaparvata lugens (brown planthopper), 697 nucleotides. RefSeq lists it as uncharacterized. The record is from RefSeq and is a predicted model, not a curated record. The transcript has 3 exons. Lineage: Eukaryota; Metazoa; Arthropoda; Insecta; Hemiptera; Delphacidae.
GAACUAAUUUCGGGAUUCUGUCGACGGGAACAGACAGCUUCGAAUUCUUUUUCUGCUCUGAUCACGUGACACCGGCAGAAUAAUUCUUUCUCUGGAUCAGACGCCAUGUUCUUUUUAACCUCAAUCUUUGAUUGUUGGUUGGUUUGUUUUGAUAUUAUUUUGCUGUCGGUUGUCAGAUUUCGGAUUGCUACUAUUAUACUGUGAAAUUAAUUUGCAGUAGAAAAUUGAGGUUUAAAAUAUUUCCAUUGAUUUCUUUAUUCUUAUAAUUUUUACAAGAGAAAUUGAAAAUGGAUUUACAACAGAAAGGCGUAAAAUUCAUUAUAAAAUUGAUGUGACAGUUCAAAGUUUUGUACUUUCCAGACCUGCACAACGAAUUACCUAUUUGAAAAAUAGAAUAUGGUUAAAAAUUGCUGAUAUGAUAGAGGAUUCAAGUACUAUUUACAAACAAAAUAUUGAAGAGAAUGUGCUCAAAAGGAAAUGCAUAUGAAUUCUUUUUUGUUGACCAGGAUGGAAAAAUUCUUUGGAACCCAUGGUUAGAAUAAGUUAGUUAGGCCUAGAGGUGUACCAGCCAGAAGUAGAGGAUGACAAAGAAAAUCAACUAUGAAUAAUAUUCCAUGUAUAUGAUUCAUGUAUGAUGUAGUAGCCUACAGAAGAAAGAGAUGGACUAAUCUAAGAAAUAUAUUCAUUUUUCAGUACA